This 496-nucleotide ribosomal RNA is filed under the name uncultured bacterium. RNAcentral's name for it is "partial 16S ribosomal RNA". It matches the Rfam family "Bacterial small subunit ribosomal RNA", at positions 28 to 507 of the family's 1533-position model. The record is from RNAcentral.
GAUGAACGCUGGCGGCGUGCCUAAUACAUGCAAGUCGAGCGAACAGACGAGGAGCUUGCUCCUCUGACGUUAGCGGCGGACGGGUGAGUAACACGUGGAUAACCUACCUAUAAGACUGGGAUAACUUCGGGAAACCGGAGCUAAUACCGGAUAAUAUAUUGAACCGCAUGGUUCAAUAGUGAAAGACGGUUUUGCUGUCACUUAUAGAUGGAUCCGCGCCGCAUUAACUAGUUGGUAAGGUAACGGCUACCAAGGCAACGAUGCGUAGCCGACCUGAGAGGGUGAUCGGCCACACUGGAACUGAGACACGGUCCAGACUCCUACGGGAGGCAGCAGUAGGGAAUCUUCCGCAAUGGGCGAAAGCCUGACGGAGCAACGCCGCGUGAGUGAUGAAGGUCUUCGGAUCGUAAAACUCUGUUAUUAGGGAAGAACAAAUGUGUAAGUAACUAUGCACGUCUUGACGGUACCUAAUCAGAAAGCCACGGCUAACUACGUG